GCGAACACAUGGGCCACCACGAGACAGACUCCCCGAAAAACCUCUAAACCCCUCUCCGAUCCGCGGUGCGAAGGCAGUCAUCAAAGCCGCCACUCCCAGUUUCGAUCAUCUCCCUCCCUUGCCCCGAUCCCCUUCUAGCAAGUUGCCAUGGCGACUCGGCGCAAACCCUAGGCAGAUCUAGAGGACUACAGCGAGGACAUGCUUAAUCAAGGUCAGUUAUUCCCUUGAAAUCGGGUCAUACCCCCCCUCCCCCCCUCCCCCUCAAGAUUUAUGCCAUCAGUUAUUUGUGUUGUUGCCCACAGAUCUGUAACCUUUUCGAACCGUAGUUGUCAACUAUGGGUGAAUUUGCCAUGCGCACUGUUUUUCUCCUGAAUUUUUUGAUGCACAUCAUGUCAAAACCUUGGAGUAUCUAAAAUGAACUACUCCCUCCAUUCUUAAAUAUAAGUCUUUUUAGACACUUCAAAUGGACUACAACAUAUGGAUGUAUGUAGACAUAUUUUAGAGUGUAGAUUCACUCAUUUUGCUCUAUAUGUAGUCACUUGUUAGACUCUCUAAAAAGACUUAUAUUUGGGAACGGAGGGAGUAGUUGCCACGAAAAUGAGUAGUUCACUUGACAUUUGAGGGGAAAGGGGGAGAACAACAACGCAAGAUUGAUCAGAUAGAAAUGAAAUUCCCUUUAUGAAACAAAUAAAAAUUGUCAUCCCUAUUGGCCAUCCAAAAAAAUCCGAUCUGCCUAAAUUAGAGAUUUCAAAUGAGUCCUAGCUAUUGCACAUCUAAGUGGCUCAAAUCAAACAUAAAAAGAAAAAGGAAAAGGAAAAAGAACAAGCAAAUUUCCGCACAAAUCUUCAUGUAAAUCAAUGACAUAGGACUUAGAUGUGCAAUACUUAGGGUACAUCUGAUGUGCUUUAGCAAAACCGAUUUCAAAUAACCUCAAUUUGCCUGGGUAUAUGCUUUUCUUCUUCUUUCCAAGAGCAUGCAUGAAGCAUGAGCUCUACGUGUUUAUAUGUUAAGAUAGAAAGCAAUGCUUAUCUGAAUGUGCUUUUCAUAUCCACAAUGGAAAUAGAUGUUCUAUACUUCUCUGUUUAGUGCACAUAAAAUAUUUGAAAAGUCAAAUUUACCAAACUUUGACUACAUUUAUAGAGGAAAAUAGCAAUAUCUAUAAUAAUAAAUAAAUAUCAUUAGAUACAUCAUUAAACAUAUAUUUAUAGUAGGACUAGUAUUUAUUUGGUAUUAUUUCUGUUGAUAUGUUUCUCGCUAAGGCUAGUCAUAGUGGGAGUAACUUAGCUAGUAACAUAGCGCACUUCAAGAAAAGUUUGCUUACGUGGCAUAUAGUUAAUGAGAAGUGGUAACAUAAUAUGUUACUGUAACAUAGCGCUUCCCAAGACAAGAUGAGUCUACAAACUAAUAAAUGAAGUCCUCUAUGACACUAGUACUAUGUUACUUUGCACUAUAAAGAUAGUAACUUAGACUAGUGUCAUAUGCAUGACACUAGUAUAAGUUACUCCCCACUAUGACCAGCCUAAACUUGGUCAAACUAAACAAUGUUUUACUUCCAAAAAAAUAUGCACACUACACGAGGAAUAGAAGGAGUACAGUCAAUAUCUAUCUUUAUUGUGUUUUUUUCUUUAUUAACAAUUUAAAAUGUUUUGCGUCAACUUAAGUAUCUGUCUUGCCUUAGUUAGAAUGCACAUCAAGUAUCCCCGCAAAAAAGAAAAAAAGGAAGCACAUCAAGUAGUAAUGUACAACCAUCAGCCAGAGCUUCAGGCUUGGUUAGGUUGUUCAAUAAUCAUCUGAAUCUGAAUCUGCACUCCAAGAUAGUUGUCAUCUAAACCUUUGUUCAAUAAUCAUGUGAAAACCUCUGUGCAAUUCCAUCUAAUGUAUUCAUUCCUCCUUGGACCGACCUUCACUACGCAUGAACCAGCAAGAAUGCCAAUGCUGUCCAAACGGUUAUGAAUGGAAUGGUAAGUGACGCCGACAGUCGAUGAGAAGCGUUCGGCAGCCAUGGGUACGCAUC
This 2014-nucleotide long non-coding RNA is filed under the name Triticum aestivum (bread wheat). RNAcentral describes it as "long non-coding RNA (TAES_LNC020350)". The record is from RNAcentral. Lineage: Eukaryota; Viridiplantae; Streptophyta; Magnoliopsida; Poales; Poaceae.